UCGAAAUAAACCUGAUGGGUUGUUGCUGGUUCCCUAGGGAGCAUGUGCACACCUUGUCAUCUUUAUGUCUCCACCUGUGCACUUUUUGUAGACCUUUCAAGGUCUAUGUUGCUUCAUCUACCCCCCCCCAAAUAAUAAUAGGAUGUUGUGCCUUUUGAAAUAUA
This 164-nucleotide unclassified non-coding RNA is filed under the name uncultured Cortinarius. RNAcentral describes it as "sequence contains ITS1". Lineage: Eukaryota; Fungi; Basidiomycota; Agaricomycetes; Agaricales; Cortinariaceae. The record is from RNAcentral.